AGACGAACCACACGAACGUUAUUCGGAAUUACUGGGCUUAAAGGGUGCGUAGGCUGUGCGGAAAGUUAGGUGUGAAAUCCCCCGGCUCAACCGGGGAAUUGCGCUUAAAACUACCGUGCUAGAGGAAGACAGAGGUGAGCGGAACUUCGGGUGGAGCGGUGAAAUGCGUUGAUAUCCGAAGGAACACCGGUGGCGAAAGCGGCUCACUGGGUCUUUUCUGACGCUGAUGCACGAAAGCUAGGGGAGCAAACGGGA
Molecule: ribosomal RNA, 255 nt
Filed under: uncultured prokaryote
Description: partial 16S ribosomal RNA
Rfam family: Bacterial small subunit ribosomal RNA
Source: RNAcentral